CCUACGGGUGGCAGCAGUCGAGAAUCAUUCACAAUGGGGGAAACCCUGAUGGUGCGACGCCGCGUGGGGGAAUGAAGGUCUUCGGAUUGUAAACCCCUGUCAUGUAGGAGCAAAUUAAAAAGAUAGUACCACAAGAGGAAGAGACGGCUAACUCUGUGCCAGCAGACGCGGUAAUCCAGAGGUCUCAAGCGUUGUUCGGAAUCACUGUGCGUAAAGCGGGCGUAGGCUGUUUCGUAAGUCGUGUGUGAAAGGCGCGGGAGCAACCCGAGGACGGCCAAUGUUAAUGCGAGACUAUAGUAAUGGAGGGGGAACCGGAAUUCUCGGUGUAGCAGUGAAAUGCGUAGAUAGCGAGAGGAACACUCGUGGCGAAGGCGGGUUCCUGGACAUUAACUGACGCUGAGGCACGAAGGCCAGGGGAGCGAAAGGGAUUAGAUACCCGUGUAGUC
RNAcentral lists this ribosomal RNA (446 nucleotides) under uncultured bacterium. RNAcentral describes it as "partial 16S ribosomal RNA". It matches the Rfam family "Bacterial small subunit ribosomal RNA", at positions 338 to 795 of the family's 1533-position model. The record is from RNAcentral.